Molecule: ribosomal RNA, 495 nt
Filed under: uncultured bacterium
Lineage: Bacteria
Description: partial 16S ribosomal RNA
Rfam family: Bacterial small subunit ribosomal RNA
Source: RNAcentral
GACGAACGCUGGCGGCGUGCCUAAUACAUGCAAGUAGAACGCUGAAGGAGGAGCUUGCUUCUCUGGAUGAGUUGCGAACGGGUGAGUAACGCGUAGGUAACCUGCCUGGUAGCGGGGGAUAACUAUUGGAAACGAUAGCUAAUACCGCAUAAGAGUAGAUGUUGCAUGACAUUUGCUUAAAAGGUGCAAUUGCAUCACUACCAGAUGGACCUGCGUUGUAUUAGCUAGUUGGUGGGGUAACGGCUCACCAAGGCGACGAUACAUAGCCGACCUGAGAGGGGGAUCGGCCACACUGGGACUGAGACACGGCCCAGACUCCUACGGGAGGCAGCAGUAGGGAAUCUUCGGCAAGGGACGGAAGUCUGACCGAGCAACGCCGCGUGAGUGAAGAAGGUUUUCGGAUCGUAAAGCUCUGUUGUAAGAGAAGAACGAGUGUGAGAGUGGAAAGUUCACACUGUGACGGUAUCUGACCAGAAAGGGACGGCUAACUACGUG